AUUGAACGCUGGCGGCAGGCCUAACACAUGCAGGUCGAACGGUAACAGGAAGAAGCUUGCUUCUUUGCUGACGAGUGGCGGACGGGUGAGUAAUGUCUGGGAAACUGCCUGAUGGAGGGGGAUAACUACUGGAAACGGUAGCUAAUACCGCAUAACGUCGCAAGACCAAAGAGGGGGACCUUCGGGCCUCUUGCCAUCGGAUGUGCCCAGAUGGGAUUAGCUAGUAGGUGGGGUAACGGCUCACCUAGGCGACGAUCCCUAGCUGGUCUGAGAGGAUGACAGGCCACACUGGAACUGAGACACGGUCCAGACUCCUACGAGAGGCAGCAGUGGGGAAUAUUGCACAAUGGGCGCAAGCCUGAUGCAGCCAUGCCGCGUGUAUGAAGAAGGCCUUCGGGUUGUAAAGUACUUUCAGCGGGGAGGAAGGGAGUAAAGUUAAUACCUUUACUCAUUGACGUUACCCGCAGAAGAAGCACCGGCUAACUCCGUG
This 490-nucleotide ribosomal RNA is filed under the name uncultured bacterium. Its description in RNAcentral is "partial 16S ribosomal RNA". It matches the Rfam family "Bacterial small subunit ribosomal RNA", at positions 30 to 507 of the family's 1533-position model. The record is from RNAcentral.